GUGUUCCCCUCAGAUUUGAUAAUAUUGGAAUCACAAGGUUUGGAUGUAAUUCUGGGUAUGGAUUGGUUGUCGAUGUAUGGAGGAAACACCGAUUGCGCCAGUAAGUCGAUCUUGCUUACCACCCCAGAAGGGAGAAGGAUCAAGUAUGUAUCCCGGCAUGUGCCGAAGAGGACUCAAGUAAAUUGUUUAACAGGAGUUGUGCAGGAGGAAGUACCCGUAGUGAAGGAUUUCCCCGAUGUAUUUCCAGAAGAAUUGCUAGGCAUGCCACCGGAUAGAGAUAUUGAGUUUUUGAUUGAGCUUUUGCCAGGCACAGGGCCAAUAUCAAAGAGACCAUAUAGAAUGCCUGCAAAGGAUUUGGUGGAGAUUAAGAAGCAAAUUAAGGAGUUACCGGAUAAAGGAUACAUUCGCCCAAGUUCAUCGCCUUGGGGAUCGCCAGUACUUCUAAUGGAAAAG
RNAcentral lists this ribosomal RNA (453 nucleotides) under Triticum aestivum (bread wheat). RNAcentral describes it as "partial small subunit ribosomal RNA". The record is from RNAcentral. Lineage: Eukaryota; Viridiplantae; Streptophyta; Magnoliopsida; Poales; Poaceae.